UGUGUGUUUGUGAGACGCACCUCCCACAGUGGGAUUAGGUCCUGCCUCCUCAGCCACCAAGUCAGCGUGCACACAGCCCAGGAGUGCAGACAUGAAGCGUACGCUGGUGUGUGUGCUGAUGGCUGCCUGGAGCCUCGGAAGUGGCACCCAGACAGUCAACCAGCCGGUGGGGGACAUGCAUGCGCUGAAGGGCGAAGCCGUGAUGCUGGACUGCAACCACGAAGGCAACGACUACAUCUUCUGGUUCAAACAGAACAGCCAGGCAGCACCAGAGUUCAUCUUGAGACGCUUCAAGAGCGGUCAAGAAAAGACAGUGAGCAGCUUUGACCAGAGGUUAAGCUGCAGCAUCAAUGCUAGCACCCACCAAGCUCCUCUGGAAAUCCAAGACGUGCAGCUGAACGACUCUGCCAUCUACUACUGCGCCCUGCAGCCCACAAUGACUGACAGCUCUGCUGCACACGCGCAAAAACUCCUGUAGGCCCCUCAAGUCAAAGGUCACAGGUGGCCUGAGUGCUGAACCGUUAAUAUCAUGAAGUAAAUACACAUGUUACCUCCACUUCAACGUGAUGUGUUUUUUGUUGUAAAUAUGAGAGCCAAAGCAGACUUUACUUUUUAAAAUAAAUUGUCAUUUUUACCAUCCAAGUAUGUAAAUCUCUGGAAAUGUUUUGCACCGCUGACCACAAUGUCCAUCAAAAAAUGUAGUGAAUGAUGUGAAGUAUUAUUAAAAGUGAAA
This is a non-coding RNA of Dunckerocampus dactyliophorus (ringed pipefish), 733 nucleotides long. NCBI's taxonomy places the organism in Eukaryota, Metazoa, Chordata, Actinopteri, Syngnathiformes, Syngnathidae. The record is from the annotation of a RefSeq genome assembly.